UUAAGGAUAAGAGUGAAGAAGUGCUGGUGUGCGUUUUCCUGUGUUUCCAACAGCACAGUCAAUUCCUUCUUCUUGGUCUCCUUCAGAGGGCUGGGCAGUUAGAUAUCAAUCCCAGGGGAACCCUGUACUGUCCUGAACAUGAUCUUGUCGGAUUUUCUCCAACCUCCCAGGGUAUAGCAGCUGUAUGGACUACAAGUGAAGGAGAGACGAUAGUGAGAAGAAGUACAGUUGGAGUAUCUUCAGGCUGGGAGAACGUGGUUCUAGCUGAAUCUGAACCUGGAGUAGAGGAACUAGAACUAGAGAACGAAGAUGAGGAUCCUAGACAGCUCUACCUUGGUGCUCUCUUCUCUCCAGGAGUAUUCAGGGCUGCAACUUUGGCCCGAACUGUUGGUAUAUUCCGGAGGAACCUAGAGAACUCAAAUAUUGACGAAGGAACUACUUGGGAACAGUUAAAACAGGAGGUUGUAUCGGCUGUAGAAGCUGAUAUACAGAACUCUCUAACAGACUAUGAGGUUUCAGACGAGGAUUAUCUGUCAGUAUCUCGUAGUAGCUGGAGCAGGUUCUACUCAAGUGCAGCACAAUAUAGAGCUGUAGGAAACCAACCUAUGGGUUUAGUAACAUCACCUGGAGAAUCCACGAUACUAAUUGUUAGAAAGGAUAUUGUAUCCUGGUGCAGACCGGUAGAAGCAUUAGAACAGGUUGUGGUGUCCGGUGGAGCAGGGGUUAGUAUUGAAAUAUUCUCAGAGAUCCCUCCUCUAUCUGAUGAACCUGGGCUAGCUGGAGAUGUACUCAACCUUCUUAUAGCUGCUGGUAUGGUUUGUCGUCUUCUUCCUGCUUCAGCUUUUAAAGGAUUUAAAACUGCUGUGUAUCAUCAGCAGUCUCCUGAUCUAGUCAGUAGAUCCCUAGCUGCAGAUCUUCUUGCUGAUCAGGAACAGCCAUAUGCUCUAGAGAAGAUGCUCUCUAGGGUUCAGCAGGUUCAGGAUAUAUCCAGAGCUAUGGAAGUUAUCCUGUACUGCCUUGAGCUUGACUCUGGUAGUGUAAGCAGGGGUGAGCUGGAUCUAUCCAGGAUAGAGACAGAUGAACCAUCUCCUAAACUAUUCUCAAGUGAGCUUGGAACCUCUCUAGUCGCAGAAUCUCUCCGUCAGCAGGCUGAGUCAAGGUUGGGUUUAGCUCAGCAGCUCCUGGUUCUUCAGCAUAUACUCCUGGAUUGUAGUGCUACUGCCCGAGUACCGCCUGGAGUACUAGAUUCUAUACUCUCAACCUUCCUUCCAAGAACUACAGUCAUGGUUCACUGUUACAAUGUUCUAUCUUGGCUUUGUCAGGUACCUGCCUGUACACCUCCUAGUUCUAUCCAAGAGCUUGGACUACGCCAGCUUGCUGUUCUUAGACUAUCUGAUAAAUCUACCCAUAUCACAUAUACAAACAGAAAGGACAAGAACACUAGCCUACUAGAACUGUUCUUAAACGGACCCGGUCGUCUUGUGCGCGGCGUGGUGGGAGAAUGCCGCGGUGAGGAUUGUUGGGCACUGGCGCUCUCCCCCAUGAUUAACAUGACCGCACAGCUGUUAUGGCCACGCUGCGCUACUCCAACGUUUCUUAACUUCCUUCUUCGAUCCUCACAGCACGCUAUCGUUCAAAACUACUGCAGGAUGUUAUCGACCUGGUGUGAAUGGCACCCGUAUGCCCGGAAGUUCCUGCUGGGAGUGGCUCACCUCAAUAUGGGAGAGGAGGAGAAGGCUUUGGAUCUGUUCAUCUCCGGUGCUGGAGGUAUUCCACAGGAUCAGUUCCUUACUCAGGAUCUUCUUGAACUUCAGGGGUCUACUCCAGCUGAUCUUACUGUUGAAUACUUUCUCAAGGUUGUAUCCCUGUUAGAACAGUUUCCUUGUCCUGAUCUAGUGAUAUCUCUGACAGAAACCGCUAGAGCUGUAACACCACAGGAUCACAAGGAGCGAGCUACCCUCGCCUACAUAUUGUUCUCCUAUCAUCUAAAACUCGGGCAUAAUGAAGAUGCUUACGCCGCCAUGAUGUCAAAUCCAGAUCUAAGUCGACGAAAAGAUUCUCUGCGACAGUUCCUUGUCACCUUGUUUGACCGAGGAGAGUUGUCGCAGCUGGCGUCCUACCCCUACACCGACAUGAUCGACGAUGUCGAGUCGAUCAUUGAGAGUCGAGCUCGGUCUGCUGAUCUAUCUGUUAAUAACUACUACGACUUCCUGUACAGUUUUCACGUGUCCAAGGAAAACUUCCGGAAGGCUGCUCAGGUCAUGUACGAGUGUGGGACGAGGCUAGGGGUCGAGCUAUGUAACUUCGAUGGGUUGAAGAAACAGGUUCAUGCCUAUCUGUCCUGUAUAAACUGUUUGUACCUGGUGAAUAAGAAAUAUCAAUGGUUGAUAAAACCCUGCUCCACCCCCUCCUCAAGCCCCAAGAGGUUCUUGGGCGGGGAGGAGAAGAUGGAGGAGGUGGAGAACCUAGGGAUGGAGGUGGUGGAGUUGGAGAGCAUAAAGAGAGAACUAGUUCUGAGUCAGGCUCGGCUUAAGCUGACCGUCAUAGCAGGAACAACUCAGGGUAACCUCCCUGCUAGUCCUGGUUUGACCCCAGCUGAGACAGUUGGUUUCCUGACCACCUCCAAUCUCUACAUCUCCGCUAUCCAGAUCUGCGAGGAGUUCUCCCUUCCUCUCACAGGGGUUAUAGAGGCCCUCGCCAGCCGAGCAGUCCGAAUAGCUAACGCAAGACCUCAGGAGAAAUCUGCUGCAUGGUCCUGGCUUGCUGAAAAUAGACCAGGUGGUGUAGAUAUACAGGGAGAUUGUGCUGUAACAGCAACCUGGAACCUUCUAGAGCACCUGGUAACAAGUAAAGAGAAGGCUACGCAGACGGUGCUUCACCGUGUAACCGUAGAACGUCUCUUCUCCCUUGGCUGUGCUCUUCCUCCCUGGUUAGUGUUUGGGUACAAGAAAAGGGACUGCGCCGAGCUCAUCAGGUUGUACCAUGGGCAGGGGAACCUCGAGCCUGCUACCGACCUCGCCUUGGAGUACCUGGAGGCCGUCCUCGGACAGGGUGGGGAGUACUUCGGUCUCGAGCAUAGUUUACAAGCUAAUAAGAGACCUGCGUGGGUUCCCUGGACUGUACUGGAUCGUCUUCUCAUAGAGUUAUCUGAAAAUUCAAAUAUUCCCGCCUUUGCUAAAUGUUUAAAAAGAUUGGAUGCUGGAGUGGAAAAGUAUCUGAGUGUUGUUGAUAGAGUAUCCAGAGAUAUGUUGGUCUGCUCAGGAUAGAUCAUUUCGAGGAUCAUCAACCUCAUCAAUACAUUUAAUCAUCAACCAGAUCAACUCUAGUAUCAUCAACCUCAUCAAUACAUUUAAUCAUCAACCAGAUCAAUUCUAGUAUUAUCUAUAUUAGAAACUAUAUUUCUGUAUAAUUUAAUCAUAUGCUGUUAAAAUCCAUGGAGUUAGUACACAGCACAUGAUAAAUAAUAAGAUAUGGAGAGAGAGAUAGGAGGCAUAUUUUUUUAAUUAAGCUUUCUCUGUCUUCUGUCACUUAACCAAGAUUCAAUCCAGUUCAGAAGAUUUCCAUCAAUACUAUGAGCUCUGAAUUUUGUUACAAGGCGUUUUUAUGGGCUUUUGCAAAAUCUAGGUACACAAUGUCUACAAUUUGACCUGUACUGUCAAAAGUACUAUAAAAAAGUACUACAAAACAUAGAAAGUACUACAUUAGUACAUAAGAAUAGAAUAGAGCACUGUAAUGAAAUUCAGGAUACAAGAUUGCAGACUUCUUACUUUUAAUAUUUCUGACUACCAACCUCGUAUCUAAUAAACCCUCCUGGACCAACACUUCCUUCAAAAGCCACAAGGAUACACUUCUCCAACCUGAUCAUUCCACGUGGAUUCCUAUUCCAACCAUGGUCCGGUAAGUCCAUUUCUUUAAUGAAGGCUCCUGACGGACGAAAGAGCAUGAGUUUUCCAAGGGUAGAAUCAGAUACCAGAAGGAACCCCAUAUUAUCUACCAGAAUUCCUGUAGGUGAUGUUAACCUCCCCACUCCUUCACCAUAGUAUCCAGGAUUGCUGUUUCGUUUUAUCUUGAAGAUCUAUUGAAUAUAUCCUGGCUGCUAUAGAGUCCACCACAAAGAAUGUCUGAUCAAAGUAAACCAGUUCCUCGGGACUGAAUCCUGUUCCUCUCUUGUUUUCAAGCACUUGUAUCUCAAUAGAACCAACAUAAAUGAACAUAGAAUCCGCCAGAUCUUUCCUGUAUCUCCUGAUAGUUUGUUCACCCUGAUCCUUUCCACUUUUAACGGAAGCUAACUCAUGUGUCGCCUCAACCCAGCACAAUCCACUGAAACAUCCUGGAAUGAAUUGAAAGGAAACAGCUCGCAAAUAUGGAUUCUCAUCGAUCAGGAAUAUAUUGAUGCCGUUACUUUGUAGAAUCGCCAAGUAGUUCCCUGUAACAACUAUAUUUCUAGGAUUCCAUAGCGUGUAGUCAGGACAGGAUAACCAGGAUCAAAGAUACCAAUCCUAUUCCUUUUAGGUUCGGAGAUAAAAAGUAAGGAUCUCGUGGAAUCAAAGACAAAGAAGGCAGGAUGUUCCAAGCAGCAGAUUUUCCUAACAGGAUAACAUUCAAUCUCCUUCAGGUUACCAGAUCCAAAUCUAAAUUUGGAGGGGUCUUCUGGUUCAAAUUCCCAUAAUGAAUCCUCAGCUUCAUUUUCCUGGGGAUCAAGACAAAGUACAAGACGGUUCUUCCCUCGAAAACAUUUUCCACUGGUUCACACAGACUUCAUCUUUUUUGCCUUCUUCAAUUCAUCUUUGACUAGCUCCAGAGUUUCAUCACUUUCAUCUUUAGAAGAUGUGUCUUAAAACAGCUCAUGAACUAGUUUUAUUGGCAAACAAUAAUAAUAAUUGUAGCAGUUGAAAGAAGAAAAACAAAUCCAUCUCCUCCGUUUCUAGUACUCCUUGAUAAUAACAAUGUGAUAAUAUUAAAAAUGUGUUAAAGGGACUGUAUCUAUCCGUCUCAACCCGCCUGACAAGAUUAUAAUCUGAUCUCAGUUUUUCUUCAGAA
RNAcentral lists this unclassified non-coding RNA (5040 nucleotides) under Eurytemora carolleeae. RNAcentral describes it as "nuclear pore complex protein Nup160". The record is from RNAcentral. Lineage: Eukaryota; Metazoa; Arthropoda; Copepoda; Calanoida; Temoridae.